This 403-nucleotide ribosomal RNA is filed under the name uncultured bacterium. Its description in RNAcentral is "bacterial SSU rRNA". It matches the Rfam family "Bacterial small subunit ribosomal RNA", at positions 356 to 773 of the family's 1533-position model. The record is from RNAcentral.
GGGGGAUAUUGCACAAUGGAGGAAACUCUGAUGCAGCAACGCCGCGUGAGGGAAGAAGGUCUUCGGAUUGUAAACCUUUGUCCUUGGUGACGAAACAAAUGACGGUAGCCAAGGAGGAAGCUCCGGCUAACUACGUGCCAGCAGCCGCGGUAAUGCGUAGGGAGCAAGCGUUGUCCGGAUUUACUGGGCGUAAAGGGUGCGUAGGCGGCUCUGCAAGUCAGGUGUGAAAACCAUCGGCUUAACUGAUGGACUGCAUUUGAAACUGUGGGGCUUGAGUGGAGUAGAGGCAGACGGAAUUCCCGGUGUAGCGGUGAAAUGCGUAGAGAUCGGGAAGAACACCAGUGGCGAAGGCGGUCUGCUGGGCUCUAACUGACGCUGAGGCACGAAAGCAUGGGUAGCAAAC